This 491-nucleotide ribosomal RNA is filed under the name uncultured bacterium. Its description in RNAcentral is "partial 16S ribosomal RNA". It matches the Rfam family "Bacterial small subunit ribosomal RNA", at positions 28 to 507 of the family's 1533-position model. The record is from RNAcentral.
GAUGAACGCUAGCUACAGGCUUAACACAUGCAAGUCGAGGGGAAACGACAUCGAAAGCUUGCUUUUGAUGGGCGUCGACCGGCGCACGGGUGAGUAACGCGUAUCCAACCUGCCCAUCACUUGGGAAUAACCUUGCGAAAGUAAGACUAAUACCCAAUGAUAUCCCACGAAGGCAUCGGAAUGGGAUUAAAGAUUUAUCGGUGAUGGAUGGGGAUGCGUCUGAUUAGCUUGUUGGCGGGGUAACGGCCCACCAAGGCAACGAUCAGUAGGGGUUCUGAGAGGAAGGUCCCCCACAUUGGAACUGAGACACGGUCCAAACUCCUACGGGAGGCAGCAGUGAGGAAUAUUGGUCAAUGGGCGAGAGCCUGAACCAGCCAAGUAGCGUGCAGGAGACGGCCCUAUGGGUUGUAAACUGCUUUUAUAAGGGAAUAAAGUGGGUCACGUGUGACUUUUUGCAUGUACCUUAUGAAUAAGGACCGGCUAAUUCCGUG